UACUUGCUCUUGAGAUGGAUCAUGAGGCUGGGAAUGCAGCAACUGCUGAUAAAAUGUCAAUUGAAGAAAACAACUUAAAUGUAGAGGGUGCUAUAAAAUCUCAAACUGUAACAAAUUCUGGCGCUGAUGUCCCUCCUCCAGUUGAAGAAAACACCUUUAAUGUAGAGGGUGCUAUAAAAUCUCAAGCUGUAACAAAUUCUGGUGCUGAUGUCCCUCCUUCAAUUGGAGAUCAAACUGUAGAAACUUGUAUUUCUCAUACGAGCAAUGCCGAAACGAAUCAAGCCAAUGAGUACCAGGAUUCCUCGAAGGCAGAUGAGGGUCUUGUUUUCCGUGCACAUGCUGCAGAAAUGAAGGUUGCCGAUGAACCAGAGAAGGGUGAAAUAGAAACUUGUAUUUCUCAUGCCAGCAAUGCGGAGACAAAUCAAGCCAAUGAGUACCAGGAUACCUCGAAGGCAGAUGAGGGUCUUGUUUUCUGUGCGGAUGCUGCAGAAAUGAAGGUCGCCGAUGAACAAGAGAAGGG
This 520-nucleotide long non-coding RNA is filed under the name Nicotiana benthamiana. RNAcentral's name for it is "long non-coding RNA (NBEN_LNC016836)". The record is from RNAcentral. Lineage: Eukaryota; Viridiplantae; Streptophyta; Magnoliopsida; Solanales; Solanaceae.